UAUCACUGAUAGAUACUACUUUGUAAAUGUCGAUAAUGAACUUCGAUCGACCCUAGAUGCUAAUAUUAUUCUUACAACUAGAUCACUACCGUCGAUAUCAUCAACGAUGAGUUUUUUUCGUUAGUCUUGCCGUGUUUCUUGGUGUUGGUAGCUACGACACUUGAUUCGUAUUGAUAUCUUAUUUUCUUAAACUUCUAUUUAUUUUCUAUCAUCACGUCAUAUAAUUAACAACUAGUUUUAAUUCGAACAAUGAUUUUUUUCGUUAUAUACCAAUAUAUUCAACUGUCUCAGCAACCAACGAAACCGCCAUCUCCAGACUUCACUCAGAUUGGGAUCAAGAGACACAAGGCGGUGUAGUACUUUUUUUUUGAUUGGUAUCAAUCUAAAUCUAGUAUUUGGACGAAGUGCGAGGAUGGGUCGUGCGUGCUUUUGCUUUCUAAAUCGAGCGUGCAAAUCUCAUAAAAUCGUUUUACUUCAUUUAGCCACAGAUAGCUUACUUUCGUAUUUUCUUCGCCAGUUAAUAAUUUAUCUUCGUUAAUUCAUUUGAUACAUGUGUACUAGUCUUGAAAAAAAAAAAGGAAAAAAGAA
RNAcentral lists this unclassified non-coding RNA (588 nucleotides) under Bombus terrestris (buff-tailed bumblebee). RNAcentral describes it as "misc RNA ENSBTSG00005019859.1". The record is from RNAcentral. Lineage: Eukaryota; Metazoa; Arthropoda; Insecta; Hymenoptera; Apidae.